This 229-nucleotide ribosomal RNA is filed under the name uncultured bacterium. RNAcentral describes it as "partial 16S ribosomal RNA". It matches the Rfam family "Bacterial small subunit ribosomal RNA", at positions 568 to 796 of the family's 1533-position model. The record is from RNAcentral.
UGCGCAGGCGGAACUUUAAGUCAGUGGUGAAAUCUUGCCGCUUAACGGUAAAAUUGCCAUUGAUACUGAAGUUCUUGAAUAUGGUUGAGGUAGGCGGAAUGUGUUGUGUAGCGGUGAAAUGCAUAGAUAUGACACAGAACUCCGAUUGCGAAGGCAGCUUACUGAACCAUUAUUGACGCUGAGGCACGAAAGCGUGGGUAGCGAACAGGAUUAGAUACCCUGGUAGUCC